GGUUGGCCCGUCAAUGGAUGAGACGAGGGAGGGCGUCUGCCUCGCCUCUUCGUCCUCCCAGUCACCCCCACCAUCCCCGCACUCGCCGCUGCCGCCACCCUUCAUCCCCCGUGGUCCGCCUCCUCCCCUCCCCUCCCAUCGCCCGAAUCACAUGCCCGCUGGUCGGGCCGCGGUGGACGGAUUCGAAGAUGGCCGGGCGGCGACCAUUCCCACGAGGCCCGGCGGCGAGCAGCGCGCGCCGAGGGGUGGAAGGGCGCUCUGGAUCCGGGCGCGAUGGCGGCCAUGGCCGAGCUCGAGCCCAGGCGUGUGGGUGCGUUGGUGAGCGCGGCGGUGGUCGGGGCCGAGCUCUGAGCACGGCAGCGGCCAUGGCCCCGUCCUCCCGCAUCCCAGCCCCGCUCGCCCCAGCCCUCUCCCCGACCUCUCCCUCCACCAGACCUCUCCGCCCUGCCCACUUCGCCGCCACCAACACCCCGUAGACCUCGCCGCCACCGACGCCCCUCAGACCUCGCUGGCGUGGACCUCUCUCCUCGUCUCCCUCGCACCACGCCGCCCGCAGCCUCCCCCUCUCGUCAUCAGAAGGGAAGGGAAGGGAAGGGAAGAGGGAGAGUGAGCAGGGCAGGCGGCGGCCAAGGUGCUCACAGAUUCGCCGGCGAUGUCGUCCGACCUUGGCCUCCGAGUGCUUGUGCUCUGCCUGCUCCCGGCCCAUGCAAUGGCCUGCUCGGGAUGCCACCCUCCCCCUACUCCAACCCUAAUCCCCUCCCCUUCCCUCACGAUGUUGCUUCUUUUGGUCAUGCAGGUGCACGCACGCGUCCCUGCUCCUCUGGUGGACAAGGUCGGUUCCGAUCUGGAUGAGCAGCAACUGCUGCAGGUGGACGAGGCACGAUCCCUCAUGGCUCGUCCCUCCUCCUACUCCCCCUGAACGUGGAAACAAAUCGAGUGCUGGAGUGAAUCAUCUAAUUCAGGGACGAAACACAAAUCAGAUUGUGCUUAUGUCGCUACCUCCUACGUCUACAGCAGUACAAUUUCAGGUUUGCUCUCGGUUCUGUUGGCAAGGGAUCUUUGGUCAUGUAUCAAUUGUAGAAUGGCAAUAGUUGAGCAUCAAGGGACAACCGAAAUUACUAUGAUGAUAUUCCAGAGAUCCCGGGCCAUGCGGGGAGAUCAAAGGCUGGCAGUGCAUGCAACAGGGCAUGUUAAUCAGGCAAAUUAUCGUUCAAAGACUGGGUCUAUGAUGCUUGGCGCGAAGGUCCUAUUUCUCUCAUUCCUCCCUUCCAACCCUCAACUUUCUGGAUCAUGGAAGUAAGCUGUGCACAGUCACAUUUUUUUGGGUAUAUAUACUAGAAGUUAUUAUGGCUCACUUACAUUUAUAUCACGUCGACAUAGCGGAUCAGCUGGUUAGAAUUCUGUAUAUUUUCUUCACCUCGUGAGAGGCACAUCUUUCAACCAAGAAUGUCAUCAGCGACUAUCCUGAGGACAUGGCACCUUCUUCUUUCAGCUGCAAUAUUUAUUUGGAUCUCUGUUGUGUAGUGCCAUAUUUUCUACUUAUACUCUGCAGGCACAAUGUUACAGAUUUAUUUCCAAUCUCAGUAUGCCAUCUAUCCGAAUUUUGUAUAGCUUGCAUAGUGCCUAAUAUCAUGAGCUAAUGCUAAUAUUGUUUAUAGAGCUUUCAUA
Aegilops tauschii subsp. strangulata is the source of this 1668-nucleotide long non-coding RNA. RefSeq lists it as uncharacterized. The record is from RefSeq and is a predicted model, not a curated record. NCBI's taxonomy places the organism in Eukaryota, Viridiplantae, Streptophyta, Magnoliopsida, Poales, Poaceae.